RNAcentral lists this ribosomal RNA (406 nucleotides) under uncultured bacterium. RNAcentral's name for it is "partial 16S ribosomal RNA". It matches the Rfam family "Bacterial small subunit ribosomal RNA", at positions 30 to 526 of the family's 1533-position model. The record is from RNAcentral.
AUUGAACGCUGGCGGCAGGCCUAACACAUGCAAGUCGAACGAGUGGCGGGCGGGAGAGAAAUGUAUGGGAAACUUCCUGGUGGAGGGGGAUAACUACUGGAAACGGUAGCUACAACCGCACACCAUCCGCUGUGCCCAGAUGGGAUUAGCUUGUUGGUGGGGUAACGGUUCACCAGGGCGACGAACCCUAGCUGGUCUGAGAGGAUGACCAGCCACACUGGAACUGCGACACGGCCCAGACUCCUACGGGAGGCAGCAGUGGGGAAUAUUGCACAAUGGGCGAAAGCCUGAUGCAGCCAUGCCGCGUGUAUGAAGAAGGCCUUCGGGUUGGAAAGUACUUUCAGCGGGGAGGCGUUACCCGCAGAAGAAGCACCGGCUAACUCCGUGCCAGCAGCCGCGGUAAUUC